GUGAAUUUGAAUAUGAUUUUUUUUUUUAGAAAUAAAAUUCACCGCAAAAUAAAGAUUGUGAUUCUAUUGCUCACUGCCUCCUUCCAAGUGAUCUGCUGUCCGCUAGUAGUUUAUGAAUCUGCCAUAUUUUUCAUGAUGUUCAGUGUGACAGAUUUUGCCUCUGACAAACGUAAGAGUAUAUUUUUCCUCCAUGAUUGCUGCAAAUCUUUUAGUUUUAGUUGAUUUCAUUUUCAGUUGCUCUUGCGGCGCAGUAAUUUUCAUUCGCGAUUCAUAUAUCAAGCUCUUGCUCCAGCUUAUAUGUCGCAUUGAAAGUAUGAAAAACGUAUAUAGUUCGAUAUCCCCGACUUUAGGCUCAGCGAUUCUUCAACAUUUAUGUUUACCAUGAAUAACCUAGUUUCUAUUACUAAUUUUUGUAAGAUAUAUGCGCUUUAGCUUUGGUAGUGUUAGAAGAUGAGGAAGAUGAAGGGGGGAAUGGGUAAAGUUACAUAGACCCGAGGAUUGAGAAUCAGAAAUCAUUUGAAAAGGUAGGGCCUGCUGUGAGUUUAAGUGAGGAAAAUAAAGGAAAUUGGGGUUAUAAUUGGAUAUGUGAACCUCUGUAUAAGUGCUAUGGAUGAUAGAGAAUAGGGAUACUUGCUACAUGAGAUGAUUUUGGUUUGGGGGGUUUUGCAGAACAACUCCUGAUGUUAGAAGUAGCUGCUAUAAGAUGAUAUUGGUUGGUAUGGUUCAGAAUUUGAACGCCAUAGGAAAUUACAGUUCCCUAUUUAAGUAUCAUAAGAUGAAAACUUACCAAUUUGAAGUGCUUUGUUGCAGUUAGUAGCUCAUAUAUGUGCCAAGGGAAAUGUUGUUCGGACUCUUCAAAAAUGUCAAGGGGUGCUUGUCAGAUUCACCAAAAGUAGUGUAUCUUUCCAUUCAGUAUAUUGAUUAUUUUAUUUCUUAGUAACUUUCUAUUAUCUUGUAGGUAUCUCCAUAUAAGGAAUUUAAGCACAACUGAGCUUGAGGAAUAUCAGUAGUUUCCUUCAAAUUCUUAUUCAUAUUAGCUGUGACCGGGAAAGUUCUGCAGAGGUUCUUUGGAAAUCUGGAAGAAUUUUAUUUCCCUGAUUUGGUUGAAGCUUGCCUAAGGUAAUUGAAAAGAUCCAUAAAUCAUAAAGUAUUCCAUUUUUUAUAAGGGAAUUAGUAAGCACGACUAUGAAAAGGUUUUAUUGCAUUACAUUGUUUUUAUAAUUGUAACUCAAAUUUAUUUAUCACAUCAAGAUGAAUUUUGAAGUUAGCCUUCCUACAAAUUUGGAUUAUGCUGUGGAAUCAUUGGAGAAAACAAUGUUAUUGCCAUGUGUGGAAUUGAUUUUCUGGCCUUUUAUGUUCCCGUAAAAUCCUUAAGUGCUACCAUUUAGUUCUGUCAAGUUUACUUUAGGUGCUAAAGAUGCCUUUUCCCUCAAAAUUGAAACUGUAUUAUCCUUAAGCUUAUUAUUCAUUUAGGAUUUUCAUCUGCUAUAGUGAGGAAUGACAUUUAGACAAAGCCUGUCUUUAAUUUCAUCUAAUGUUGGAUUCAUAUUUCUAGACCACCUUUGCAUCAAAAUGAGGAAACUGAGCAUUAAUAAUGCAAUUCGGAAUGUGCAUUCCUUUAUAGAGUUUUUCGGUGUAGAUGAGAGAAACUAAUAAAAGAAAUGAGCUUAAGCCGUGUCACUGAAGAGAAUGGGAUGGAGAAUUAUUCUUAUUACUUCGGUCUAAGUCAAACACUUGUUCAAAAAUUUUCAGCAUUUAGAUAAGUUCUGAUUAAGGACUAUAACAGAGGUCCUACCUCAUGCUCACCACUAGAAUUUCAACAGUUUUCAUUUGUUUCUUUUCUCACACUUUUGCUUGGAGAGGAGGGAGAGAGAGUUGACAAAGGAUCUCCUUUGCAAGCUGUUUUGUGCAUGUGUUUUUUGAACAAAGAUGGCACUUUACAAGGUUUUACAAAAUUCACACAAAACAAAAUAUUGCUUUGAUACGUUUAACAAAGUGUGAUCAUCUAAACUCAAACAUGAAAAACUUGCUUCUUUUCUGCUGAGUAAAUUGAUUAGUUUCCUAACUCUUGCUGUCCAUAAGCACCUUACUGGAAAAAAACAUGAUGCUUUUGGAAUCAUAUUACUGGAAAACAGACAUUGAAACACUUCAUACGCUAAAAAUUCAAAUUCAUCAAUGAGUUAGCUGUAACCAUUUAGAACAGUUAAAACUUCAUGUCAUGCCUUUGCUUUGAUCUUGCCCAAUCAAAGUUAAUCGUCCAAUUUAGGAUAGAAGAUGCAAAAAAAAUAAAAUUGAGAUAGCUUUACAACUAAAACUCUGCAAUAAGAGAGGUAAGAUAGCAAUGGAAUGAAACGGACAUAGCAGAGGACCGACAUGUUGGAAGAGGGAUGGGGGAGGCGUCUAGCGUGUGAAUAUUGUCAAGGAAAGUAAAAAAAGGAAAAAAAAUUCCUCCAAUUUUAAGGGUGUUGAUAAUCUGUCGAAAUUUAAGAAGUUCCCUCCUUUCAUUUUCUUUUUAAAUUCUAAUGUCAAGCUUCUUUCAUUUUGUUCUCAUGUAUACUUGUCUGUUAUUGGGGAGCCAUGUGUUGUCUUUUUUGGUACAAUAAAUAGCUGCUUUGGCUGGGUGCUUCACUUUAUAGUCUGCUUCCAUGAUCCUUUUUCUGUUUCGGAGCAUAAGUUUCAAAUUGAUGGUCAAAUCAAAGAAAUUAAUGUGACUGCAUGCAGUAUUGAGAUUCUGUGCUUAAAUGAGAUAGAGGAUACAGCACCAAGAAGAAGGAAUCUUUCAAGAAGCAGGAGGGAGCUUUUCAAUAGUUCAUCUUCAAAAAAUUGUUUAUGGUUCAAGUUCAUAACGACUCAGGUAACUUGCAAACUGAACAAUACUAAGGAGUAAGGACAAAUCUCUAUUCUGGAAAGUUUUCAUCAAUGGCACAAGAUUAUAUCACAUCAUUGUCAUUCUUGCGUAAUUGUGGUCGCUUUAUAUGAACUAUGUUUCUCUGAAUUUGUACCAAAAUGAUGUAUAUAUAAAUGAUUUCUUAUGUGUGUCAAAUAAUUCAUAAUAAUAUUGCUCUCACUCUCUUCAGGUGUCUCUUCCUAUAAAAUAUGUGAAAGAAUGGAAACUGCUAAAAGUGAAAGAAAAAUAGAGAAGGAUAGAUCAAAGGAAUCUGGAAAAGAAUAUUUCACAGAAAUUGACUGGUAUCUGUUUUCUCUGGAGAGAUUCAGUGCUUUUUG
This 3225-nucleotide long non-coding RNA is filed under the name Solanum tuberosum (potato). RNAcentral's name for it is "long non-coding RNA (STUB_LNC002887)". The record is from RNAcentral. Lineage: Eukaryota; Viridiplantae; Streptophyta; Magnoliopsida; Solanales; Solanaceae.